GUGUUAGCUUUGGCAGCACAUAUUUUAAAAAUUGGAACAAAAAAAAGACUAGCGUGGCCCCUGUGCAAGGAUGAUACAAAUUUGUGAGGUGUUCUACGGUUUG
Small nuclear RNA from Talpa occidentalis (Iberian mole), 103 nucleotides. The record is from RefSeq and is a predicted model, not a curated record. Lineage: Eukaryota; Metazoa; Chordata; Mammalia; Eulipotyphla; Talpidae.